Molecule: non-coding RNA, 75 nt
Organism: Pelobates cultripes (western spadefoot toad)
Lineage: Eukaryota; Metazoa; Chordata; Amphibia; Anura; Pelobatidae
Source: the annotation of a GenBank genome assembly
AAAUCCCUCCCACAAUUCCAGAUUUCCCACCUUCUAUAUAUAGAAGGUGGGAAAUCUGGAAUUGUGGGAGGGAUU